GGGUGGUUAGCUCAGUGGGAGAGCGCUUCCCUGACGCGGAAGAGGCCGCUGGUUCAAUUCCAGCACCACCCACCA
This 75-nucleotide transfer RNA is filed under the name Pseudomonadota bacterium. RNAcentral's name for it is "tRNA-Val". It matches the Rfam family "tRNA". From Rfam's summary of the family: Transfer RNA (tRNA) molecules are approximately 80 nucleotides in length. Their secondary structure includes four short double-helical elements and three loops (D, anti-codon, and T loops). Further hydrogen bonds mediate the characteristic L-shaped molecular structure. tRNAs have two regions of fundamental functional importance: the anti-codon, which is responsible for specific mRNA codon recognition, and the 3' end, to which the tRNAs corresponding amino acid is attached (by aminoacyl-tRNA synthetases). tRNAs cope with the degeneracy of the genetic code in two manners: having more than one tRNA (with a specific anti-codon) for a particular amino acid; and 'wobble' base-pairing, i.e. permitting non-standard base-pairing at the 3rd anti-codon position. Lineage: Bacteria; Pseudomonadati; Pseudomonadota. The record is from RNAcentral. RNAcentral also lists the same sequence under 1 other name.